UUCCCUUAGUAACUGCGAGUGAAGAGGGAAAAGCUCAAAUUUAAAAUCUGGCAGUGUUUCACUGUCCGAGUUGUAACCUAGAGAAGUGUAACCUGCGCUGGACCGUGUAUAAGUCUCCUGGAAUGGAGCGUCAUAGAGGGUGAGAAUCCCGUCUUUGACACGGACUACCAGUGCAUUGUGGUUGUGCUCUCAACGAGUCGAGUUGUUUGGGAAUGCAGCUCUAAAUGGGUGGUAAAUUCCAUCUAAAGCUAAAUAUUGGCGAGAGACCGAUAGCGAACAAGUACCGUGAGGGAAAGAUGAAAAGAACUUUGGAAAGAGAGUUAAACAGUAUGUGAAAUUGUUGAAAGGGAAACGUUUGAAGUCAGUCGCGUUGGUUGGGGAUCAGCCUGACAUUUGUUGGGUGUACUUCCUGGUUGACGGGCCAACAUCAGUUUUGACUGCCAGAAAAAGGCCAAAGGAAUGUGGCACCUUUGGGUGUGUUAUAGCCCUUGGUCGUAUAUGGUGGUUGGGACUGAGGAAAGCAGCGUGCCGAAAGGCCGGGUUUCGACCACGUUCACGCUGAGGAUGUUGGCAUAAUGGCUUUAAGCGACCCGUCUUGAAACACGGACCAAGGAGUCUAACAUGCAUGCGAGUGUUUGGGUGGAAAACCCUUACGCGUAAUGAAAGUGAAAGUUGAGAUCCCUGUCGCGGGGAGCAUCGACGCCCGGACCAGAACUUUUGGGACGGAUCUGCGGUAGAGCACGUAUGUUGGGACCCGAAAGAUGGUGAACUAUGCCUGAAUAGGGUGAAGCCAGAGGAAACUCUGGUGGAGGCUCGUAGCGAUUCUGACGUGCAAAUCGAUCGUCAAAUUUGGGUAUAGGGGCGAAA
RNAcentral lists this ribosomal RNA (867 nucleotides) under Amanita detersa. RNAcentral describes it as "partial large subunit ribosomal RNA". It matches the Rfam family "Eukaryotic large subunit ribosomal RNA", at positions 75 to 928 of the family's 3401-position model. The record is from RNAcentral. Lineage: Eukaryota; Fungi; Basidiomycota; Agaricomycetes; Agaricales; Amanitaceae.